RNAcentral lists this ribosomal RNA (349 nucleotides) under Gonioctena quinquepunctata. RNAcentral's name for it is "partial 12S ribosomal RNA". The record is from RNAcentral. Lineage: Eukaryota; Metazoa; Arthropoda; Insecta; Coleoptera; Chrysomelidae.
UUUAAAUGUAAUUUUAAAAGCUAAAUUAGUAUUAGUUAUGUUCUUGAAAAUUAAAGAUUUUGGCGGUAUUUUAGUCUAUUCAGAGGAACCUGUUCUGUAAUCGAUAAUCCACGAUUUAAUUUACUUUUUUUAUUAAUUUACAUAUCGUCGUAAUUUGAAUAUUUUAUAAGAAUUUUAAUAUUCAAGAAUUUUUAUAAAAAAAUAAAUCAGAUCAAGGUGUAGUUUAUGGGAAAGAAGAAAUGGGUUACAAUAAAUAUAAUUUAAGAUUAUUAUUUUUAAAAUAAUAUGAAUUUGGAUUUGAGAGUAAUUUUAAUUAAUUUAUUAAUUUGAUUUUAGCUCUAAAAUAUGC